This 1955-nucleotide long non-coding RNA is filed under the name Lonchura striata (white-rumped munia). RNAcentral describes it as "domestica (Bengalese finch) lncRNA (ENSLSDG00000008836.1)". The record is from RNAcentral. Lineage: Eukaryota; Metazoa; Chordata; Aves; Passeriformes; Estrildidae.
CAUUCGCAGGCUGUGAGAGGGAGCAGCGCUGCCGCUCGCCGAGCGGGUGCCCGCGGGUGCCGAGUGCCGCCCGAGCAGCGCUGCGCCCGCGGGCGAUGGGGCAGCGCCCGGCACCGCAGAGCCCCGUGCCCCGAGCCCGGCCUGCCUGACUCUGGGUCACUCGUGCUCGUCUCGUGUCCCUCAGCUCCUCGCCCCCGGGCCGUGGCCUCCAGCCGCGGGGUCAGACCUCUGGCCGCCCCACCCUGGCCGGGGCUCCUGCGUGAGCCGCGAGCGGUGCUCCGCUGGAGCCUGGGCAUCUGCAGCGGGUGAUGCAGUGGGAGCCGUGUGGUGCCUGGCCGGGGAUGCUGUGGGAAUGCUUGGCUCUCUGAGCACAAAGUGACUGCAACUAGCACGAGCCUGGGACUACUUCUCAGAAGAUGCCCUGCGUGUCUCCAGUCAUUCCUCUCCGGCCUCACCGCAGAAUAUUUGGAGUUGCUAGCUUUCUUCUGCCGAGGGGGGACAAAGGCAGAGGCCUCCAGAGGGUUAAGAGCAUCUGCUUUUACGCCAAGUGUUUGAGCAGGAAAUAAUCUGCAGAGAUACAUGUGCAGCAAUUCAACUGCUGCUGCUCUCUCAGGCUGCUGCUGCAGUUCGGUGUGUGAGAGGAGCCGUGCUGCUCACAGAAGAUGCUUUCUUGGUGUGCCCGAAUCUCCAGGCAUGGCAGCAGAGCCCCGGCUGUCUGAGCUGGGGUAAAUGUCUCCAUCCAAGAGGAAUUAUGUUGACUUGCUGUCUCUGUCGGCUCACGGAGGGAAAGGCCAAGAAGGAAAACGAGGGAGCUGACAGGUCUGAGUUCUCAGCAGCUUGUGAGCUGUCCCCAUCUGAGGAGCAGCUUUGUCACAGAGGUUUCCCUGGCGUGUUCAGCCCAGUGUCAUCCCCAGGCUCAGAGUGCUUUGAGAAGAGCCCACUGAAUUCCUGCUAGGAGGGCCACAGGCAGAGCAAACCUGCCCAGCUCAUCACCAAACCUCCUUUGGAGCAGCUGCCAGAGGGGCCGAAUUCCCUGUUUCCUGCUGUGCUGCCCAGAUCCUGUUCCAUGUGGGCCAAGGCUGGAGUACACCCGCGUCCCCGUGGUUUUGCGUGAGAUCCUCACCCUGUGCAUCCACGGCCUCUCCCUUCUCCUGUCCCAGCUAGCAGCGUGCCAUCACCACCCACCAGAUGUGCAAGUGGCUGCAAAGAGCUCCCCUCCCUGAGCACAGGUGCUCUCUUUCAAGAAAAAAGUAAGUGUUGCUCAGCAAGAGCUGUGCAAAUGUAUAACUGUGUGUUCAAAUGAAGAAACUGCUGCUCCUUGAGGGCAGGCAAGGGGAACAGGGCACGCUGGAAUUCUGGCAGUGGCUAGGUUGGGAAAGUGCCAGUUCCAGCACACUGCUCCUGAUUUGCCUGGCAAGGCAGCUCUCCCAGAUGAAGUGAGAUGUUGUAAGCCAAAGUUCUCUUCAGAAAGCUUUAUUUGGUUUAAAAUGCUUUGUUAUCAAAUACUGCUUCUGACUUCUUCCAACUUUUGACUAGGCUCAGUUCACCUCUGAUUUAUUUUAAAUUCAGUGGUACUUUACACAAAGUGUUCUCAUCAGCCAAGCCACUGCUGGAUUUCUAGACAGAGUAGUUUAGUGUUCGUCUGUCUCAUUUCUUUACUGUCCAAGAUGAAUCUCAGGAGACUGAAGCUCUGAACCAAGUGGCUUCAGGCUAUUCAUCUGGAAGACAAAGCCACUUAGACCUUUGUAAAGAAAGUAAUUUAGUAAUCAAUGCAAGAGGCCAGUCUCUAAGCUAACCCAUUUGGAAAAAUUGCCAGUGCAGUAACUACAGAUAUAUUAUGACAAUAAUACUGAUUAUGUCCUUCCAUUAUUGCCAUAAUUUUUUCUUCUCUACAGCUUCAGGACAGAGUUGGUUUUGCACCAACUUCUAUGAUCCUGUGCAUUAGAAAUGCUUUG